UACGGGGGGGGCAAGCGUUGUUCGGAAUUACUGGGCGUAAAGGGUUCGUAGGUGGCUCGCUAAGUCAGACGUGAAAUCCCUCAGCUUAACUGGGGAACUGCGUCUGAGACUGGCAAGCUUGAGUGCAGGAGAGGAACGCGGAAUUCCAGGUGUAGAGGUGAAAUUCGUAGAUAUUAGGAAGAACACCGGUGGCGAAGGCGGCCCACUGGUCCGGUACUGACGCUGAGGUGCGAAAGCGUGGGGAGCAAACAGG
RNAcentral lists this ribosomal RNA (253 nucleotides) under uncultured bacterium. RNAcentral's name for it is "partial 16S ribosomal RNA". It matches the Rfam family "Bacterial small subunit ribosomal RNA", at positions 524 to 776 of the family's 1533-position model. The record is from RNAcentral.